CUACGGGUUGCUCCAGUGGGGAAUAUUGGACAAUGGGGGAAACCCUGAUCCAGCAAUGCCGCGUGUGUGAAGAAGGCCUGCGGGUUGUAAAGCACUUUCGGUUGGGAGGACUGCUUCUAGCACUAAUAUUGUUGGAAGUUGACGUUACCUUCAGAAGAAGCACCGGCUAGCUCCGUGCCAGCAGCCGCGGGAAUACGGAGGGGCAAGCGUUAAUCGGAAUUACUGGGCGUAAAGCGCGCGUAGGCGGCUAGAUCAGUCGGGUGUGAAAGCCCCGGGCUUAACCUGGGAACUGCAUCCGAUACUGUCUAGCUUGAGUACAGGAGAGGAGAGUGGAAUUCCACAUGUAGCGGUGAAAUGCGUAGAUAUGUGGAGGAACACCAAUGGCGAAGGCAGCUCUCUGGCCUGAUACUGACGCUGAGGUGCGAAAGCGUGGGGAGCAAACAGGAUUAGAUACCCCUGUAGUC
This 464-nucleotide ribosomal RNA is filed under the name uncultured bacterium. RNAcentral's name for it is "partial 16S ribosomal RNA". It matches the Rfam family "Bacterial small subunit ribosomal RNA", at positions 339 to 795 of the family's 1533-position model. The record is from RNAcentral.